GAUGAAGAACGUAGCGAAAUGCGAUAGGUAAUGUGAAUUGCAGAAUUCAGUGAAUCAUCGAAUCUUUGAACGCACAUUGCGCCCCUUGGUAUUCCAUGGGGCAUGCCUGUUCGAGCGUCAUUUGUACCUUCAAGCUUUGCUUGGUGUUGGGUGUUUGUCUCGCCUUUGCGUGUAGACUCGCCUUAAAAUAAUUGGCAGCCGGCGUAUUGAUUUCGGAGCGCAGUACAUCUCGCGCUUUGCACUCAUAACGACAGCGUCCAAAAGUACAUUUUACACUCUUGACCUCGGAUCAGGUAGGGAUACCCGCUGAACUUAAGCAUAUCAAUAAGCGGAGGA
This 336-nucleotide unclassified non-coding RNA is filed under the name soil metagenome. RNAcentral describes it as "partial contains 5.8S ribosomal RNA, internal transcribed spacer 2, and large subunit ribosomal RNA". The stretch from base 1 to 120 matches the Rfam family "5.8S ribosomal RNA", at positions 35 to 154 of the family's 154-position model. The record is from RNAcentral.